UCUGCAGUAACCCAGGUGGUGGUUCUGACCAGUUCUAUCUGGUUCUAACCAGUAUUCUCCUCCCUCUGCAGUAACCCAGGUGGUGAUACAGCAGCCGCUGCUAAGAGACGUACCCGGCCAGAUGAUGUGUCCCCACUGUCAGGUCCCGGUUCUGACAGAGACCACACACCCCUGGACUGCUCACCUGGCUCAUCUGUGGAGCCCUCUUCUGCUUCCUGUGCAUGAUAUUCUCUUGGAUUCCGCUCUGUGUUGACUCCUGUAAGGACGUAGAACACCGCUGCCCCAACUGCAAGGCAGUGAUCUACAUCCACAAACGCAUGUGAACAGACCAAGAUGAGACACCUGCCACAAAGUGAUCCUUACCUAUAUGAAUCUAUUCCAGUAGUGUAGAUCCUCUGAGGGAAACUGCAAACCCAGUUUAAUGCACCAGGAUUGGAAAGACAAUGGGCUCCUACUGUCUGUCGCUGAAAUCACUGCUGCAGUACCAGCUUUUCAUCUACUGGGAAUGUGUGACAGGGUAUUAUUAUAGUCGUCAUUUACUAUAUCGUAAAAAUUCAUGAAAUCAAAAUGUGCUUCUUGGUCUUAAUUUCAGGUUAAGGUUAGGUAUUAUGGUCAGCAGUGUGGUUAUAUUUGAUGACUUUGUGGCUGUGCCAGCUAGUGACCCCUCUACAGAGCUGCCUCCAGGGCAAGAUUCAUGACAAUAAAUGCCAACCUGCCCCUAAUUAGGGGGAACAGGUUAAAGAGUAGACAGACAGACACAUGUACGUGCCAAGACCACGUUUAAUAGGUUUUAUACUGAUUGUAAAUGAAGCUUUUCAAUUAACACAGAACGUAUUGUUCUUUGCAAUGAAUAACAGUCAAGUUUAUUGAUUGGUUGUUUACUUUAAAUUAUUUUAAUAAUCUCAA
Oncorhynchus nerka (sockeye salmon) is the source of this 906-nucleotide long non-coding RNA. RefSeq lists it as uncharacterized. NCBI's taxonomy places the organism in Eukaryota, Metazoa, Chordata, Actinopteri, Salmoniformes, Salmonidae. The transcript has 2 exons. The record is from RefSeq and is a predicted model, not a curated record.